RNAcentral lists this ribosomal RNA (2250 nucleotides) under Escherichia coli. RNAcentral's name for it is "partial 23S ribosomal RNA". It matches the Rfam family "Bacterial large subunit ribosomal RNA", at positions 698 to 2925 of the family's 2925-position model. Lineage: Bacteria; Pseudomonadati; Pseudomonadota; Gammaproteobacteria; Enterobacterales; Enterobacteriaceae. The record is from RNAcentral.
AGUUGCAGGGUAUAGACCCGAAACCCGGUGAUCUAGCCAUGGGCAGGUUGAAGGUUGGGUAACACUAACUGGAGGACCGAACCGACUAAUGUUGAAAAAUUAGCGGAUGACUUGUGGCUGGGGGUGAAAGGCCAAUCAAACCGGGAGAUAGCUGGUUCUCCCCGAAAGCUAUUUAGGUAGCGCCUCGUGAAUUCAUCUCCGGGGGUAGAGCACUGUUUCGGCAAGGGGGUCAUCCCGACUUACCAACCCGAUGCAAACUGCGAAUACCGGAGAAUGUUAUCACGGGAGACACACGGCGGGUGCUAACGUCCGUCGUGAAGAGGGAAACAACCCAGACCGCCAGCUAAGGUCCCAAAGUCAUGGUUAAGUGGGAAACGAUGUGGGAAGGCCCAGACAGCCAGGAUGUUGGCUUAGAAGCAGCCAUCAUUUAAAGAAAGCGUAAUAGCUCACUGGUCGAGUCGGCCUGCGCGGAAGAUGUAACGGGGCUAAACCAUGCACCGAAGCUGCGGCAGCGACGCUGAUGCGUUGUUGGGUAGGGGAGCGUUCUGUAAGCCUGCGAAGGUGUGCUGUGAGGCAUGCUGGAGGUAUCAGAAGUGCGAAUGCUGACAUAAGUAACGAUAAAGCGGGUGAAAAGCCCGCUCGCCGGAAGACCAAGGGUUCCUGUCCAACGUUAAUCGGGGCAGGGUGAGUCGACCCCUAAGGCGAGGCCGAAAGGCGUAGUCGAUGGGAAACAGGUUAAUAUUCCUGUACUUGGUGUUACUGCGAAGGGGGGACGGAGAAGGCUAUGUUGGCCGGGCGACGGUUGUCCCGGUUUAAGCGUGUAGGCUGGUUUUCCAGGCAAAUCCGGAAAAUCAAGGCUGAGGCGUGAUGACGAGGCACUACGGUGCUGAAGCAACAAAUGCCCUGCUUCCAGGAAAAGCCUCUAAGCAUCAGGUAACAUCAAAUCGUACCCCAAACCGACACAGGUGGUCAGGUAGAGAAUACCAAGGCGCUUGAGAGAACUCGGGUGAAGGAACUAGGCAAAAUGGUGCCGUAACUUCGGGAGAAGGCACGCUGAUAUGUAGGUGAAGUCCCUUGCGGAUGGAGCUGAAAUCAGUCGAAGAUACCAGCUGGCUGCAACUGUUUAUUAAAAACACAGCACUGUGCAAACACGAAAGUGGACGUAUACGGUGUGACGCCUGCCCGGUGCCGGAAGGUUAAUUGAUGGGGUCAGCGCAAGCGAAGCUCUUGAUCGAAGCCCCGGUAAACGGCGGCCGUAACUAUAACGGUCCUAAGGUAGCGAAAUUCCUUGUCGGGUAAGUUCCGACCUGCACGAAUGGCGUAAUGAUGGCCAGGCUGUCUCCACCCGAGACUCAGUGAAAUUGAACUCGCUGUGAAGAUGCAGUGUACCCGCGGCAAGACGGAAAGACCCCGUGAACCUUUACUAUAGCUUGACACUGAACAUUGAGCCUUGAUGUGUAGGAUAGGUGGGAGGCUUGGAAGUGUGGACGCCAGUCUGCAUGGAGCCGACCUUGAAAUACCACCCUUUAAUGUUUGAUGUUCUAACGUUGACCCGUGAUCCGGGUUGCGGACAGUGUCUGGUGGGUAGUUUGACUGGGGCGGUCUCCUCCUAAAGAGUAACGGAGGAGCACGAAGGUUGGCUAAUCCUGGUCGGACAUCAGGAGGUUAGUGCAAUGGCAUAAGCCAGCUUGACUGCGAGCGUGACGGCGCGAGCAGGUGCGAAAGCAGGUCAUAGUGAUCCGGUGGUUCUGAAUGGAAGGGCCAUCGCUCAACGGAUAAAAGGUACUCCGGGGAUAACAGGCUGAUACCGCCCAAGAGUUCAUAUCGACGGCGGUGUUUGGCACCUCGAUGUCGGCUCAUCACAUCCUGGGGCUGAAGUAGGUCCCAAGGGUAUGGCUGUUCGCCAUUUAAAGUGGUACGCGAGCUGGGUUUAGAACGUCGUGAGACAGUUCGGUCCCUAUCUGCCGUGGGCGCUGGAGAACUGAGGGGGGCUGCUCCUAGUACGAGAGGACCGGAGUGGACGCAUCACUGGUGUUCGGGUUGUCAUGCCAAUGGCACUGCCCGGUAGCUAAAUGCGGAAGAGAUAAGUGCUGAAAGCAUCUAAGCACGAAACUUGCCCCGAGAUGAGUUCUCCCUGACUCCUUGAGAGUCCUGAAGGAACGUUGAAGACGACGACGUUGAUAGGCCGGGUGUGUAAGCGCAGCGAUGCGUUGAGCUAACCGGUACUAAUGAACCGUGAGGCUUAACCUU